AGUGAACGCUGGCGGUAGGCCUAACACAUGCAAGUCGAACGGCAGCACAGUAAGAGCUUGCUCUUACGGGUGGCGAGUGGCGGACGGGUGAGGAAUACAUCGGAAUCUACUUUUUCGUGGGGGAUAACGUAGGGAAACUUACGCUAAUACCGCAUACGACCUACGGGGGAAAGCAGGGGAUCUUCGGACCUUGCGCGAUUGAAUGAGCCGAUGUCGGAUUAGUUAGUUGGCGGGGUAACGGCCCACCAAGGCGACGAUCCGUAGCUGGUCUGAGAGGAUGAUCAGCCACACUGGAACUGAGACACGGUCCAGACUCCUACAGGAGGCAGCAGUGGGGAAUAUUGGACAAUGGGCGCAAGCCUGAUCCAGCCAUACCGCGUGGGUGAAGAAGGCCUUCGGGUUGUAAAGCCCUUUUGUUGGGAAAGAAAAGCAGCAGGUUAAUACCCCGCUGUUCUGACGGUACCCAAAGAAUAAGCACCGGCUAACUUCGUG
Molecule: ribosomal RNA, 492 nt
Filed under: uncultured bacterium
Lineage: Bacteria
Description: partial 16S ribosomal RNA
Rfam family: Bacterial small subunit ribosomal RNA
Source: RNAcentral